This is a long non-coding RNA of Gorilla gorilla gorilla (western lowland gorilla), 402 nucleotides long. RefSeq lists it as uncharacterized. NCBI's taxonomy places the organism in Eukaryota, Metazoa, Chordata, Mammalia, Primates, Hominidae. The record is from RefSeq and is a predicted model, not a curated record. The transcript has 3 exons.
GUGAGAAAAUGGAGGUCCAGAGAGAAAAGUGACUCACCCAAGCUGAAAACAAUUGCAGGAAGUAAAGCCAGGACAGAACUGGGCUGUUAGAAACCUUGGAGUACACUAAAGAUGAGGAACUGAGUCACCGCAAUGCCAAAUGUAACACGCCGUGGGUCAAAAUUUGGAUGGUUGCGUUGGAAAUUAUUCUGAAGCCACAGACAGGGCUAAAAGAGUCUAGAAUGUCCUACUAAUGGUUGGAACCUGCUGGAGUUCUAAAGGCAUGCGAUGUCCUGAAUGUGCUUGACCGAUGGACACAGCAGGUAUUUGAAGAGUUUUGAUGCUUCCUUUCUGUUUUCAGUGCUAUUUUUUGCUUUAUUUCUUUUUAAAAACUUUCCCCACAGAGGCUAUUUAUUACACAGC